This is a long non-coding RNA of Aotus nancymaae (Ma's night monkey), 1694 nucleotides long. NCBI's taxonomy places the organism in Eukaryota, Metazoa, Chordata, Mammalia, Primates, Aotidae. The record is from Ensembl.
ACGGAAACUCCAGGCUGAGCUUGGACUGACUUCCCUCCUAACCCGUGACAGUAGAGAGGCGGGACCAAUGGAUUCUUUUAUUGCCGCCUUUCUGUCGAACCCGAAUGUAAAGAAAGGUCGGUUGGUUUGCACUGGCCGACAAAUGGUCCAAUUGCCGUGAGAAAAGGGGCCUCUGAAUCCAGAUUGGCGUCGUCUCUACCUAUAGGGUAGACUCAGGGGCGGUGAGAACCAGCCCCGGAUGUGGGCGCGGCCCUGAGGUAGAACUGUGAGAGCCUCUACCGCGGUGGAUUGGGGAGGCGGAACUGAAAUUUUUUUCCUAAUUAUCAUGUGACGGAUUCUGGAUUUAAUGGGGGGAAAAGUGCGGAAAAGGACAAGGAUCCAAACUGGCGAAUUUCCUGAUCUUCGCGCCCGUUUCCGCUCUCCCGCCGGCGGCGUUGCCAGCCUCUGGCCAGGAAAGGAAACCAACACAGAAAAAUUACUCCUUAGGAGCAAAAAGUACUGCAGUAUGAAGCCUCUGCCAAUUAAGUAAACAAGUUUAACUGCCACUAGAUGGAUGUAAGGGGAAAGAGGUGAGUUAGGAGACUCAUACUUAAUUGUUGAAAUAAAACAGAUAUGUUCUCUUGCACCAGAAUAGCCACCAUUUAAAGUAGUAUAGAUUUGUUUAAAGUAGUAUAGAUGUUGCACAGUACAUCAAGAUUGGUUCUAAAAUACAGUUAAUUGAGCACACUAAUCUAGGGCAUUUGGCUCAUUUAGCUAAUUUCUUCACCUUUUCCUUGUUAUCUUCCUGCAUCUUUCCUUCUACCUUGCAUGUUUUUGUUCCUAUCCCUAGCACCUUCUGAUCUUUUUCUCUUUCUGUCAGGUAUCUUCUCUCAUCUUCAGUGUCAUUCCCCAUUGCCUUAUUUCUCUGUUUAUAGUCAUAAUUAAAUUCUUCCUUUCCUGAAAAUUUCUUCUUUCAGUUUCAUAUACCUCAUCUUUCAUUUUCUCUUCGCCAAAUGACUCAAAGGAAUAAAAUGUUCUCCACUGUUUCCAUUUCUGGAUCUUCUGUUUACUCCUUAACCAACUGCAUGCAGUCUCUGGCUUCUAAUUUCCCAUUCUACUUAUCCUUUUUCCAAAUGGUCAUAAAGAUUGGUAUAAUAAACUUGAAUAAGCAGAGGAACAUGUCAUAAACCUAUAUGUGAAGAUUAAAUGUAAUAAAUGCUAUCCCUAAGUUUUAUGCAUUCACAAUCAAAAUUCCAAGUUUUUAAAAAUCAGCUUAGCAAAUUCAGCAUUAGCGCAAAAUAGAAAAUAUUCUAUACCUGAAUGGAACCUUAGAGGAAAAAAGCAGAAAAUAUUCUAGAAGAGAGGCCGACACUUUGGGAGGCCGAGGUGGGUGGGUCACCUUAGGUCAGGAGUUCAAGACCAGCCUGGCCAACUUGGUGAAACCCUGUCUUACUAAAAAAUGCUGAAAAUUAGCCGGGCUUAAUGGUGAGCACCUGUAAUCCCAGCUACUCAGGAGGCUGAGACAGGAGAAUCACUUGAACCUGGGAGGCGGAGGUUGCAGUGAGCUGAGAUUUUGCCAUUGCACUCCAGCCUGGGCAACAAGAGCGAAACCCCAUCUCAAAAAAAAAAAAAAAACUAUGCCACAAAUCAGUGAGAGUAUUGUUAAAAGAAAAAAAUGUAUUAUAUAUCAGGGAAAGGUAUAUUUGUAAGAAUUU